RNAcentral lists this ribosomal RNA (254 nucleotides) under uncultured bacterium. Its description in RNAcentral is "partial 16S ribosomal RNA". It matches the Rfam family "Bacterial small subunit ribosomal RNA", at positions 524 to 776 of the family's 1533-position model. The record is from RNAcentral.
UACGUAGGGGCCUAGCGUUGUCCGGAUUUAUUGGGCGUAAAGAGCUCGUAGGCGGCUUGUCGCGUCGAAUGUGAAAACUCGGGGCUCAACCCCGAGCCUACAGUCGAUACGGGGCAGACUAGAGUGCUGUAGGGGAGACUGGAAUUCCUGGUGUAGCGGUGAAAUGCGCAGAUAUCAGGAGGGACACCGAUGGCGAAGGCAGAUCUCUGGGCCAUUACUGACGCUGAGGAGCGAAAGCAUGGGGAGCGAACAGG